RNAcentral lists this ribosomal RNA (501 nucleotides) under uncultured bacterium. RNAcentral's name for it is "bacterial SSU rRNA". It matches the Rfam family "Bacterial small subunit ribosomal RNA", at positions 903 to 1397 of the family's 1533-position model. The record is from RNAcentral.
AAAUGAAUAGACGGGGGCUCACACAAGCGGUGGAGGAUGUGGUUUAAUUCGAAGCAACGCGCAGAACCUUACCAGGUCUUGACAUGCUGGGAUUAAUUAUCUGAAAGGAUGAGGAUUGCCCGCAAGGGUGUAACCAGCACAGGUGCUGCAUGGCUGUCGUCAGCUCGUGCCGUGAGGUGUCAGGUUAAGUCCUUUAACGAGCGAAACCCCUACGUCGAGUUGCCAGCGAGUAAUGUCGGGAACUCUCGACGGACUGCCGCGCAAGCUGGAGGAGGGAGGGGACGACGUCAAGUCAUCAUGGCCUUUAUGACCUGGGCCACACACGUCCUACAAUGGGUGGUACAACGGGAAGCCAAACCGCAAGGUCGCGCCAAUCCCUGAAAGCCACCCUCAGUUCGGAUUGCGGGCUGCAAUUCGCCCGCAUGAAGCUGGAAUCGCUAGUAAUCGCGGAUCAGCCACGCCGCGGUGAAUAUGUUCCUGAGCCUUGUACACACCGCCCGU